Molecule: RNA transcript, 1598 nt
Organism: Zophobas morio
Lineage: Eukaryota; Metazoa; Arthropoda; Insecta; Coleoptera; Tenebrionidae
Exons: 8
Source: RefSeq, a predicted model, not a curated record
CCCGACAGACUGCUGCUUACUAGUGAUUUAAAUAAGCUGCUACGUUGCCACUUGUCUACGCUUUUCUUUGUGGCGAUUUACCCUGCAAACUCGCUGCUAGAACACUCGAGUCGAAAACUCGGAUGGGAUAAUACUUGAGGAAUAUACGAGAACAACCUAAUCUUCGCGUUCUGACAUAAACCACAAGAAAAGAAAAGGAACUAGGGGUAUUCUCGUCAUAGCCAUUCAACUGGAUGAGCUUUAGCGAAGGCGAGUAGGUUAUACUUUCCAGAACGCACAAAUAGCUUUCCUUUCUGUUGCAAUAUGGUAACUGUAUCUUUAAUUUACCUUACCUUUUCUCUUUUGGUUAUUAGAGGGUGACCAUGACGUGAACCUAUCGUGUAUAUAUGUAUAUAUAUGUGCCAUUUUUCAUCGUCUUCCCCUAUAUCCUUCUGUUUUAAAUUUACAAAGCUCGAGUAAUAUAUAAACUAUUUGAAGAAAAUUUUAACUUUAGGGUUUAUUCGGGUUGCCCCUGAGAGAUCCUUAAAGGGCUUCAUAAAGGGCUUUGUUUCAUCUGAUUAGGUACUGCAUUGCCAAGUUUGAAAAGCUAACUCAGCUACGAAGAGCACGACUGAUCUUGUAUGUCGUAUUUCAUACAGCAUAAAGGGUUAAAGCUAAUUACUUACGGAUGGAUUGGGUUCAUCGCGGAAAAUUUAUUACUUUCACAUAACCGGGAUAUUAUUAUACAACGUAUUGGUGAUAAAAAAUAUCAUAUUCUUUACUCCUUAUUAAGCACUUUUACCUGCGGUUUUGUUUCUUACGGCUACUUCAAGUACGGCCGGAGACAAGGACCUAUCUGGUUUAACGUUCAACGUAAUCGACUUCUUCGUUGGAGUGGAUUCAUUUUACUUUCAACUGGUUAUGUGGGAUUUUCUCAAUUUUUUCCUAAAUUUCAGUCCCCUUUUGCAAUACAACCAGUUGAAAAAGAAACAAACUCAAGAAGUGAUGGCGGUAGGGAGCUGCAAGAAAAAGGGUUCAAAUUAAGAGAGUGGAAUUUUCACCCUCGUUGCCCUUUAGACUUUAAAACAAAUCACGAUUUGGUUAACGAAGUGAGUGGUCUAGAAAGAGUUACACGGCACCCAGCAUUCUGGAGUCUUGGCUUUACUGGUGUAGGACUGGCUUUAACUACAAUGUAUGCUUGUGAAACUGUUUUAUUUGGUAUGUUCGGUGUUCUGGCGGCUCAUUAUCAAUGGAUAUGGAAGCACAAACCUCGAACAUACCUUUCUUGGCGCUCUUAUUGGAAAGACAAAGCUGGAAGAAGCUUAUAAACGAGUUAAAGUUGACAAACGCUUCUCUUGCUCUUUUUUUGUCUUGGUUGAUCUACGCACGACGAAUAAAGAAGCUGAGCUUACAGUAGAGGCUCUUGAGAAAAACUGGGGCAUAGAAAAGGACUAAAAUUAGUCGGUCCUAAGCAAUUUGCGGAGUUCUAUUUUUUUCGGUACAACUGUUGGAUUAAAUCUUUGCCUUCCUCCCAUUGGCCGAUACAAAUUAGAUCUUGACAUCCAACAGGUUUCCUCUUGGAAGAUUCAUAAAACUUACUUAGAACAACCGAGUUGUAU